UAAGCGGAGGAAAAGAAACUAACAAGGAUUCCCCUAGUAACUGCGAGUGAAGCGGGAAAAGCUCAAAUUUAAAAUCUGGUGGUCUUUGGCCAUCCGAGUUGUAAUUUAGAGAAGCGUCUUCCGCGCUGGNCCGUGCACAAGUCUCCUGGAAUGGAGCGUCAUAGAGGGUGAGAAUCCCGUCUUUGGCAUGGACACACCAGGGCUUUUGUGAUGCGCUCUCGAAGAGUCGAGUUGUUUGGGAAUGCAGCUCAAAAUGGGUGGUGAACUCCAUCUAAAGCUAAAUAUUGGCGAGAGACCGAUAGCGAACAAGUACCGUGAGGGAAAGAUGAAAAGCACUUUGGAAAGAGAGUGAAACAGUACGUGAAAUUGUUGAAAGGGAAACGCUUGAAGUCAGUCACGUCGACCGAGACUCAGCCUUGCCUCGGCUUGGUGUACUUCUCGGCUGACGGGUCAGCAUCAAUUUUGCCCCUUGGAUAAUGGCGAGGGAAAUGUGACACCUUUAUGGUGUGUUAUAGUCUCUCGUCGCAUGCAAGGGUUGGGAUUGAGGAACUCAGCACGCGCCCUUUGGGUGUCGGGGCUUUGCCCACGAUACGUGCUUAGGAUGUUGGCAUAAUGGCUUUAAACGACC
Molecule: ribosomal RNA, 628 nt
Filed under: uncultured Russulaceae
Lineage: Eukaryota; Fungi; Basidiomycota; Agaricomycetes; Russulales; Russulaceae
Description: LSU rRNA
Rfam family: Eukaryotic large subunit ribosomal RNA
Source: RNAcentral